Molecule: ribosomal RNA, 111 nt
Filed under: Aeromonas salmonicida
Lineage: Bacteria; Pseudomonadati; Pseudomonadota; Gammaproteobacteria; Aeromonadales; Aeromonadaceae
Also listed under: 4 other names
Source: RNAcentral
CCUGGCGGCCAUAGCGCCGUGGAACCACCUGAUCCCAUGCCGAACUCAGAAGUGAAACGCGGUAGCGCCGAUGGUAGUGUGGCAUUCGCCAUGCGAGAGUAGGACACUGCC